This 849-nucleotide ribosomal RNA is filed under the name Alternaria dennisii. Its description in RNAcentral is "eukaryotic LSU rRNA". It matches the Rfam family "Eukaryotic large subunit ribosomal RNA", at positions 68 to 935 of the family's 3401-position model. Lineage: Eukaryota; Fungi; Ascomycota; Dothideomycetes; Pleosporales; Pleosporaceae. The record is from RNAcentral.
ACAGGGAUUGCCCUAGUAACGGCGAGUGAAGCGGCAUCAGCUCAAAUUUAAAAUCUGGCUCUUUUAGGGUCCGAGUUGUACUUUGCAGAGGGCGCUUUGGCUUUGGCAGCGGUCCAAGUUCCUUGGAACAGGACGUCACAGAGGGUGAGAAUCCCGUACGUGGUCGCUGGCUAUUGCCGUGUAAAGCCCCUUCGACGAGUCGAGUUGUUUGGGAAUGCAGCUCUAAAUGGGAGGUACAUUUCUUCUAAAGCUAAAUAUUGGCCAGAGACCGAUAGCGCACAAGUAGAGUGAUCGAAAGAUGAAAAGCACUUUGGAAAGAGAGUCAAACAGCACGUGAAAUUGUUGAAAGGGAAGCGCUUGCAGCCAGACUUGCUUGCAGUUGCUCAUCCGGGCUUUUGCCCGGUGCACUCUUCUGCAGGCAGGCCAGCAUCAGUUUGGGCGGUAGGAUAAAGGUCUCUGUCACGUACCUCUCUUCGGGGAGGCCUUAUAGGGGAGACGACAUACUACCAGCCUGGACUGAGGUCCGCGCAUCUGCUAGGAUGCUGGCGUAAUGGCUGUAAGCGGCCCGUCUUGAAACACGGACCAAGGAGUCUAACAUCUAUGCGAGUGUUUGGGUGUCAAGCCCGAGCGCGUAAUGAAAGUGAACGGAGGUGGGAACCCGCAAGGGUGCACCAUCGACCGAUCCUGAUGUCUUCGGAAGGAUUUGAGUAAGAGCAUGGCUGUUGGGACCCGAAAGAUGGUGAACUAUGCUUGAAUAGGGUGAAGCCAGAGGAAACUCUGGUGGAGGCUCGCAGCGGUUCUGACGUGCAAAUCGAUCGUCAAAUUUGGGCAUAGGGGCGAAAGACUAAU